This 72-nucleotide transfer RNA is filed under the name Stegodyphus mimosarum. It matches the Rfam family "tRNA". From Rfam's summary of the family: Transfer RNA (tRNA) molecules are approximately 80 nucleotides in length. Their secondary structure includes four short double-helical elements and three loops (D, anti-codon, and T loops). Further hydrogen bonds mediate the characteristic L-shaped molecular structure. tRNAs have two regions of fundamental functional importance: the anti-codon, which is responsible for specific mRNA codon recognition, and the 3' end, to which the tRNAs corresponding amino acid is attached (by aminoacyl-tRNA synthetases). tRNAs cope with the degeneracy of the genetic code in two manners: having more than one tRNA (with a specific anti-codon) for a particular amino acid; and 'wobble' base-pairing, i.e. permitting non-standard base-pairing at the 3rd anti-codon position. Lineage: Eukaryota; Metazoa; Arthropoda; Arachnida; Araneae; Eresidae. The record is from Rfam by way of RNAcentral.
GCCUUCGUGGUGUAAGGUCAGCACACUCGACGCGUAUUCCAGAGGUCUGAAGUUCAAGUCCCGGCGAGGGCA